UCAGGAUGAACGCUAGCGGCAGGCUUAACACAUGCAAGUCGAGGGGUAACGAUUUUGAGUAAUCAAAAGGCGACGACCGGCGCACGGGUGAGUAUCGCGUUUGUAACCUACCUCUGACUGGAGCAUAGCCCGAAGAAAUUCGGAUUAAUACUCCAUAAUACUGCGAGAAGGCAUCUUUUUUCAGUUAAAGCUUCGGCGGUCAGAGAUGGGCAUGCGUAACAUUAGCUGGUUGGUGAGGUAACAGCUCACCAAGGCUACGAUGUUUAGGGGGUCUGAGAGGAUGGUCCCCCACACUGGUACUGAGACACGGACCAGACUCCUACGGGAGGCAGCAGUGAGGAAUAUUGGUCAAUGGGCGAAAGCCUGAACCAGCCAUGCCGCGUGAAGGAUGACGGCCCUAUGGGUUGUAAACUUCUUUUAUACGGGAAGAAACCCCUCUACGUGUAGGGGGCUGACGGUACCGUACGAAUAAGCAUCGGCUAACUCCGUGCCAGCAGCCGCGGUAAUACGGAGGAUGCAAGCGUUAUCCGGAUUUAUUGGGUUUAAAGGGUGCGUAGGCGGAAAAUUAAGUCAGUGGUGAAAUCCUGCAGCUUAACUGUAGAAUUGUCAUUGAUACUGGUUUUCUUGAAUACAGUUGAGGUAGGCGGAAUGAGUAAUGUAGCGGUGAAAUGCUUAGAUAUUACUCAGAACACCAAUUGCGAAGGCAGCUUACUAAACUGUGAUUGACGCUGAGGCACGAAAGCGUGGGGAGCGAACAGGAUUAGAUACCCUGGUAGUCCACGCCGUAAACGAUGAUCACUCGUUGUUGGCAAUACACCGUCAGCGACUGAGCGAAAGUAUUAAGUGAUCCACCUGGGGAGUACGAUUGCAAGAUUGAAACUUAAAGGAAUUGACGGGGGCCCGCACAAGCGGAGGAGCAUGUGGUUUAAUUCGAUGAUACGCGAGGAACCUUACCUGGGCUUGAACGUAUGGUGCAUGAGUGUGAAAGCACUCUUUCCUUCACAGGACUUCAUACGAGGUGCUGCAUGGUUGUCGUCAGCUCGUGCCGUGAGGUGUUAGGUUAAGUCCUGCAACGAGCGCAACCCCUGUUUUUAGUUGCCAGCAGGUUAUGCUGGGCACUCUAGAAAGACUGCCUGCGCAAGCAGAGAGGAAGGUGGGGAUGACGUCAAAUCAGCACGGCCCUUACGUCCAGGGCUACACACGUGCUACAAUGGUCGGCACAGAGGGUGGCUACCCGGCAACGGGAUGCUAAUCUCCAAAGUCGAUCUUAGUUCGGAUCGAAGUCUGCAACUCGACUUCGUGAAGUUGGAUUCGCUAGUAAUCGUAUAUCAGCCAUGAUACGGUGAAUACGUUCCCGGGCAUUGUACACACCGCCCGUCAAGCCAUGGAAGUUGGGGGUACCUGAAGUCGAUUACC
This 1416-nucleotide ribosomal RNA is filed under the name uncultured organism. Its description in RNAcentral is "16S ribosomal RNA". It matches the Rfam family "Bacterial small subunit ribosomal RNA". The record is from RNAcentral.